This 411-nucleotide ribosomal RNA is filed under the name uncultured bacterium. RNAcentral's name for it is "bacterial SSU rRNA". It matches the Rfam family "Bacterial small subunit ribosomal RNA", at positions 612 to 1019 of the family's 1533-position model. The record is from RNAcentral.
ACCAGGAGAGGCUGUCCGAUACUUCCAGACUUGAGGGCAACAGAGGGCGGUGGAAUUCCGGGUGUAGUGGUAAAAUGCGUAGAUAUCCGGAGGAACACCAGUGGCGAAGGCGGCCGCCUGGGUUGCCCCUGACGCUAAAACACGAAGGCUAGGGUAGAGAACGGGAUUAGAAACCCCGGUAUUCCUAGCAGUAAACGAUGUUGACUAGGUGUCGGGAGUGUAAAAGCUCUCGGUGUCGUAGCUAACGCGUUAAGUCAACCGCCUGGGGACUACGGCCGCAAGGUUAAAACUCAAAGGAAUUGACGGGGACCCGCACAAGCAGCGGAGCGUGUGGUUUAAUUCGAAGCAACGCGAAGAACCUUACCAGCCCUUGACAUGGGACGUAUGGGAAGCAGAGACGCUUCUCUUCAG